This 77-nucleotide transfer RNA is filed under the name Alphaproteobacteria bacterium. RNAcentral's name for it is "tRNA-His". It matches the Rfam family "tRNA". Rfam says of the family: Transfer RNA (tRNA) molecules are approximately 80 nucleotides in length. The record is from RNAcentral. Lineage: Bacteria; Pseudomonadati; Pseudomonadota; Alphaproteobacteria.
GUGGCUGUAGCUCAGGUGGUUAGAGCACCAGAUUGUGGAUCUGGGGGUCGUGGGUUCAAGUCCCAUCAGCCACCCCA